Molecule: non-coding RNA, 304 nt
Organism: Zonotrichia albicollis (white-throated sparrow)
Lineage: Eukaryota; Metazoa; Chordata; Aves; Passeriformes; Passerellidae
Source: RefSeq, a predicted model, not a curated record
UGGCAGGUUUUAUCCUGCUUGGUGCAGAUCGCCUCCGUGCGCCGCUCCCUCUUCAACAACGCCGAGAGGGCCAAGUUCUUAUCCCACCUGGUGGAUGGGGUGAAACGGAUACUGGAAAACCCCCAGAGUUUAUCAGACCCCAACAAUUACCACGAGUUCUGCCGGCUGCUGGCCCGGUUGAAAAGCAAUUACCAACUGGGAGAACUGGUGAAGGUGGAGAAUUACCCCGAGGUGAUCCGGCUCAUCGCCAACUUCACCGUCACCAGCCUGCAGCACUGGGAAUUUGCUCUCAACAAUGUGCUCU